AAUGAACGCUGGCGGCGCGCCUAAUACAUGCAAGUCGAGCGAGGAGACGUAGCAAUACGUUUGUAAAGCGGCGAACGGGUGAGGAAUACAUGGGUAACCUACCCUCGAGUGGGGAAUAACUAGCCGAAAGGUUAGCUAAUACCGCGUACGCUCCUUGGACUUCGGUUCAGGGAGGAAAGUGAUACCGUGGGUAUCGCGCUCUUGGUUGGGCUCAUGUCCUAUCAGCUUGUUGGUGAGGUAACGGCUCACCAAGGCUUCGACGGGUAGCUGGUCUGAGAGGACGAUCAGCCACACUGGCACUGCGACACGGGCCAGACUCCUACGGGAGGCAGCAGUAAGGAAUAUUGCGCAAUGGGGCGAAAGCCUGACGCAGCGACGCCGCGGUGGGGGAGU
Molecule: ribosomal RNA, 393 nt
Filed under: uncultured bacterium
Lineage: Bacteria
Description: bacterial SSU rRNA
Rfam family: Bacterial small subunit ribosomal RNA
Source: RNAcentral